UCAGAGAUGAUGGCGGAGGCAAGAGGACCUGUUAUUUCGUGUAGAUGCAGCAAAACCGAAGACUGUCAGGGUAUUUGCACCGCGUGCCCCAACUAUAGCUGCAUUAAUAACCUUUGUACUUGCCUUUCAAACGCACCUCCAUUUCCAUAGUCUUAGAAUCUACACACUCCAACAGUUGAAUGAAAUGGUGGGAUUUUUUUGUGUAAUUUGAAAUAAAUUAUCAUGCAAUGGAUCUAAUAAGAAAAAAUAUUGUAAUUAUUGUAAUUUUAAUUUUCUUUUUACCCUUCUCUGCCCCUCCCCCUCUUUCUAGUAGCGAAAAGUAUGUUACAUUUCAAAUAUAUAAAAAUUGUUACAAUCUUGUUUUAAAACUAAAAGAAAUAACAUUAAGAACAAAAGAUAGGAGAAAAAUUAAGACACAAAAUGAGAGGAUAAUUCUUCUUUCUACUUGUAUCUCAUAAGCUCGUAUAUGGCUUCAAUCUAUAGGGCUUCAACAAUGAUAGGCUAAAAAUAAUAUAAAUAGGAAUAUCAAAACUCGCAAUAAAUUGAAUGGGUAUUUCAUAAGUUGCAAGUUCCACCGUAUUUUUUUGGUAGGGACAUUUUGUUAAUUUAUUAACAACACUCUGCACUAGAUGUGUAUCAAAUGGAAACGUGCUCUGUUAAAACUUUAUUAGAAAAAAUUGCAUAAGCACCUAUUAUAAGCUAAAACAUUAAAAACAUUUUCUAGGAAAACUUAACUGGACAAUACCUUGGGUAAAGGAAAGAGUAAACAUGUUUUAGACUCCCCCUAAUUUUAAAAAUAUUGAAACAUGCUACAAAUUUUGAAUCAGUUUUUUGUUACUAAAUACUUCGUCAAAGAGAAUCAUACUAUGAAGACAUGCCUUUUUAAUUACAAUGAUAACCAUUGAGUUUCAUUGCAUACUCUAGGUUCAUUUGCCAAUAACUCUUUUGCACAUCAUAAUAUAGGUUGGGGCGAAUAAAACUUUAAAUAAAGCGACAUUAAUACAAGCAUUAAAGCCUCCAUUAAUUUCUUAUAAGUUUAUAUUUAUAUCCACAAUCAACAUUUUUCUUAUGCGGACAUGAUACCUUGCUAUUGCAUAUGACUUAAGGAAAACUGUAUAUUAAAUUUAGCCUCCUAGCUUUGGAGAUUUCUACAUCCUAUCUCUCUUUCUUACUCCGUUGCAAGGAUGUUCAUGUAGCCCACUUGAUAGAUAGUUGUAUGGUUUCUUUAUUCUUAUUGAAACACAUAUCGAGUCUUUCUUGACAUCACUGUGACUUUAAUAGUCAUUACCAAUAUGGUUUGACUCUUGCAGGUUUUGAGUACAUUGGCGUGUCAUUCGGCCCAAUUAAAGGCUAUUAUUGUUGUUUCAAUUUGAGCUCGGUCUCUUCUAGUUUUUCUUCUUCUUUUCUCAUUUUGGUUUCCUACCCUUUAUAUGCUUGUUGUAGUAUUUUUCCUUAAGUUAAUUUUGGAAAUACAUAGAGUCUAUUGAAUGGAGUGCCAUUAAUCUUAUCAACAUUAUAUCUCAUCAUCUUCUUGCUUGUUUUUAGGAUCUUUAUGGCCAUGGUUAGACAAGAGUGUAUCUAUCUUGUAACACUUAUUUUGGGAGAUGCAAUGUGCACAUUUUCUAUAAGUCCUACACUUUUACCUGUUGUGUCAAUGAGGCCAUCUUUAGGUAUUUCCCCUCUAUUUAUUUCAUUAGUCAAAUUGGAUGUACUUUUAUGAACUUAAAAUCAAACAAUCACUUUUUGCUUUUUUGUAACCUCUCUUUUCAGGUCUGAUAACAUUGAUCACGAAGUUGAGCUCCUCCGUGGAUAGCCUUGGUUGUUUGUUUCCAUUUAUUCACAAUCUUUUGCAACAAAUUUUGACAUUUUAAUUGUAGUGAUAGUUUUAUUAGCCUUGUAGCGAGCCCAAGAUACCAACUGCUCCCACACAUGAUUUUGAAUUUUAAAUACUUUAUUUAAAUGAUUUUGAUGUUUAGAAAUUUAAAAAAUAAACUGAUUUUCUUCUAAAUUUUAUAACUUAGCGAUCCGCUGCUUGGGAUAGGAAGAACUUAAACCCUAGGCCCGACAAACCUAGGAAGUCAUCUAGGUGAGAAUUAACCCAAAAUUGGUAUUGCCUAUCCAUGAACCUCUUACCUCAAGUUUGUCUAGACUGUGAGGUCGAAAGAUAAGUAGUUGUUGCCAACUUAUUAGUUUAGUGGAAGAUCGAGAGAUCCUACUAGGUUAGCUGCUAAUUGAUUGAGUAGAACAUAAAAUAGGAUUUAGUUAUGACCACUGAAGCUAGCUAAUCACUCAUGCUUAGAUUUUAUUGAAUCACAUAUUAGUUCUCCAUCUUUUUUAUUUUAUGCAAGUUUAUUUCUUUUCUUAUAAAAACAACUAUUUUUCAUUUUAUGAUCAUCAUACUAUAAUUUAUUUAAAUUAUUAAUUAGAUCUAUUUGCGUUUAGGUUAAUAUUAAUUUAGUACUUGUCUCCCUUGGGUACGAUCCUCGAGUACUCACCUACUUCAUUGUAAAACUAUAUUACAACCUAACUCGUAUACUUGAGGACACCGCCUCAAUUCAAUAUAUACUUUUAGCAAUAUUCACACUCUGGAUUCUAGUACGUCCGAAGGCGGUCACUUUCCAAAGUGGCGCGUAGUUUAUCUGCAAAUCAGCGGUGGCUCGUCUACAAUACGGAGUGAUAUGUUAGACGAGUUCUGGGGAAUUCAUACGUGAGGUGUGUAGCGGAGUUGGGUAGGACUUUUCUGUUAAUUUGAAACUUCAAUGCAUUCAUAAGAAUGUGCAUAUAAAUUGUGAAUACCAAUAUCGUGAAGUGAAGCGUUUUAUGUGAAAAAUCGUUAAUCUGAGGUGCUUUAUGGUUGUCUUUAAUCUCAGGAUUGCUAAUUCAUGUGCCUUAUUGGUUUGUUGUUUUAUUUUGAUUUUCUUGUGACUGAACUCACACUGAGCUUCAUAGCUCACUGCCCUUUAGUUCCCAUCCUUAUAGAUAACCCACCAGGUUAGGAUGCGACAUAUGGAGGGCUCGAAAAAGUUUUAAUGUUAUGAAAGUAUUGUUAUGCUUAUUUUAAAUUUUAUGUUAUUUCGGAACUGUACUGUAUUAUUUAUUUUCUGGCAUUGGAUUCAUAUUUAGGCUUUGGUUUUAUAUUGCAAGCAUGACAUAUAAAUUGUUGUUUUUAAGAUGAUGAAAUAUGGAUUUCAAUUAAAUAUGCAUGAAAUAUAGAUGUUAGUAAAACUCAAGAAAAGCCAUUUUUCCGCUGAAAGGUCAUAAUUAAAUUUUGUCUAAUAACUAGAAUGUAACUAUGUUUCCAAUAGUUAUCACCUUUUACAAGAAAAAUAUUAGUUUAAUUGUAUUUUAUAUACCCAUGAUUUGUUUUCUAAAAAUAGACAAAGUCUUUGUAAAGAUAAAAAAUUGUUUUAAUGUGACUAUUUAAAAUCUUCGAUUGCACUAGGCCAUCACGGUGGCCGAUGUAAUCUCCCGAACUCGGGCCUACCGUCUAGGCCAAUUUGGGGAGGUUACAAUUUCAAUGCCAUGAAGUACUAAAACCAUAUUUUCAAUCAUCUCCAGCAUAGAUUAUUUCAUGUUGAUUUGAGUUGAAUUAAAAUAUUUAAUUUGAACUUAUAAAUUAGCCAUAUUUAAGGGAAAAAAGUGGUUUUACUUCAAACAAAAAGAAGAGAUAAAUUGUUACCAACUAAAUUGAUGAACAAGAACUUGAUAUGAUAUAUACGUGAAUACAAUAAAAAUACAUUAAUUGCGCUACAAUUGUGUAUAAUAUCCUUUUUAUUUAGUUAUAUUGUGUUUGUACAAAAUUAGUAAAGAUAAAAUACUAUGCAUCAAAUAUGUUCAAUUCUAAUUCUAAUUCUAAUUCUAAUUCUAAUUCCAAUUCCAAUUUGAGUUUGAACUUGAUUUGGUACACAAAAAUUGAGCAUGAUGUCAAGUAUGAGAAUCCAACUCAAGUCUUAUCAAAUAAACAAGCCUAAUUAAAUUUAGUAAAGCUAAUUAAAGCAGUUUAAUCUUUAUCUCGUAUCAAGUUUAUAUUUUAAAAGUUAAACUCAAUGAAGUUAUAUUGGAGCAUUCAAUUCUCUAGGUUUCUAUGGAGAUUGAGAUUGAAUUUCUUGGAUCAGUUCAACCCCAUUAAAUAACUUUUAAUUUUUUAUUUUGAUGCAAUAGUUAAUAUUAUUGCCAAACUCAUAUAAGUGGUUGUGUAAGAAGGGGUCUGGUUUUUUCGUCUGCUUUCUCUCAGUACUAUCUCCCAAAUUUUAAUGCUUUUAGUAUUUUAAUAUUUGAAAAUUAUUAAAAAAAUUUUGUCUAGCAAGAAAAAUAUAAUUUAAUCUUUUCUUCUUCUAGACCACAAAUAAAAAAAAUUGGAACAUAUUUCCCAUUUGUUUCUAAACGGUUGGACUAAUAAUCAACUUAUUGGCAUCAUGCAUUCCAGAUUUGGUAACAUUAAUUUCCAUGACUACACAUAUAAGUGGUUGUGUAGGAAGGGGUCAGCUUUUUUUGUCUGCUUUCUCUCAGUACUAUCUCAAAAAUUUUAAUGCUUUUAGUAUUUUAAUAUUUGAAAAUUAUUAAAAAAAUUUGUCUAGCAAGAAAAAUAUAAUUUAAUCUUUUCUUCUCCUAGACCACAAAUAUAAAAAAUUGGAACAUAUUUCCCAUUUGUUUCUAAACGGUUGGAGUAAUAAUCAACUUAUUGGCAUCAUGCAUUCCAGAUUUGGUAACAUUAAUUUCCAUGACUACACUUAGAACAAAAUAAUGAUAAUUAGUAAACAAAAUUCCCAUAAAUCUUCUCAAGGAUGUUUUGCUGAAUUACUUUCCUUUUAGACAUAGUUUCAUAAGGAAAAAAAUAAAAACGUAAUAAUCUCAAAGAAUCCAAAGAAAUUAGUAUUGCUGCAUGCAACACAAAAUAAGAUACUAUAUAUAUUAAAUUCAUAAGCUAUAAAAUUCCACCAACAUAGUUAAUUAGAUAUAAAGAGAUGGCAAAGUUUUCUUUCAAUUUGUUUAUAUUUGCUGUCAUCUUAAUCUUUGCAACUCGUUAGUUUCUUCCUAUGCAGCUCUUUUCUUUCCUUUGGUAUGAAUAUUAUGUUUUUGUUUAAUUUAACACAAGGGAAUUUUUGUUGUAGACUCAGAGAUGAUGGCGGAGGCAAGAGGACCUGUUAUUUCAUGUAGAUGCAGACAAACCGAAGACUGUCAGGGUAUUUGCGCCGCGUGCCCCAACUAUAGCUGCAUUAAUAACCUUUGUACUUGCCUUUCAAACGCACCUCCAUUUCCAUAGUCUUAGAAUCUACACACUCCAACAGUUGAAUGAAAUGGUGGGAUUUUUUUGCAUAAUUUGAAAUAAAUUAUCAUGCAAUGGAUCUAAUAA
Molecule: long non-coding RNA, 5353 nt
Filed under: Gossypium raimondii (Peruvian cotton)
Lineage: Eukaryota; Viridiplantae; Streptophyta; Magnoliopsida; Malvales; Malvaceae
Description: long non-coding RNA (GRAI_LNC006636)
Source: RNAcentral